Molecule: long non-coding RNA, 1917 nt
Organism: Cynoglossus semilaevis (tongue sole)
Lineage: Eukaryota; Metazoa; Chordata; Actinopteri; Pleuronectiformes; Cynoglossidae
Exons: 5
Source: RefSeq, a predicted model, not a curated record
UUCAAUAUUGCUGUCCAAGGCCCUAAGUCAUGUAACUGUACUUGCCUUUGUAAUCUCUGUAACUGCAUUUGCCUUUGUAACCUCUGUAACUGUAUUUGCCUUUGUAACCUCUGUAACUGUAUUUGCCUUUGUAACCUCUGUAAAUGUAUUUGCCUUUGUAACCUCUGUAAAUGUAUACAUGUACUUGCUUGACUGUUGGAGGUUUGUAUAUUUCAGUAUAUAGCUCACCAUCACUGCUGUCUAUAAUGUCCACCCCUUUAUUGUUUGCAUGACCAUCAGUAUGUCCGUCUUUAUCUGCAUGUGCCUUUUUGGAUUAAGUUUAGUGCUUGUGAUUAGCUGGGAUGCUGGCCAUUCAUUUGUUUAUGUAACUUACUGGUGUUUAAUCUGGGUGUACUGUGUAAAAGCUCUUAUGGCCAGUGUAGCUGGUGGAGGUGUAGGUACAAGAGGUGUACUCUUCACACAAGCUAUUGACUGACUGGUAAGAUCAGUCAAUCAAAUGGGUAAGUCUUCAGUACGGUGUUGGAACUCUGGCCUCCUGGAUGGUGGGGUUGAAGGCGGCGUCCUAAGUCCAGUGUUUAACAAGUAUGGAGAUGUUGGAUCGUGGUCGAGACCUGAGAUGUUAGACACCUUGUCAAGGAUGGCUGGCACAGGACAACUAAGGAGAAAAAUAAGUAAUCCAAGUUAUCUCUUGUUGUAUAAAAAAACUAACAGGACUUAUUCAUGUUUAAGUACUGCCCCCCCCAGGACCCAGAACCACCACUGCUGGCAGUCUCCAGUUUCCAUUUUAAGAUAUGCUUGGGUAGGAGCCCCCUCACUAACACUGAAGAUGUAUGCAGAGUCCACAUCGGAUUACACCUCUCAGGGCAGUGGUGUUUCUGGUUCCCAUUCACACAGCAGACCAAGUUCAAAAAUGUCCUGGGACUGGACCCCAGUGAGCUGAAGUCAGCUAAAUCUGUUGGACUGGACCUUGUCAUCCAAACACAUGUACAGGAUGACCAACAUGAACGGCAGAAGCAGACUCCUCCAUCAAGAGCUCCAUUUAAGAAGUCAGGAUGCAACAGACCUGAGACUGAAGAAGCUGCGUCCUAGUCACGUCAUGGCUACAGUCAAGAUAUUUCAAACCUGGCUGCUACUUACUGGUUGUCUUGAGAUAUGCCCCCCAAGGACCCUGGCCCACCACAGCUGAGGAGACAGAUCCCUGCUUGGCUGUUUUUUAUUUUUGUUUGUUUGUUUUUUUUAAUAAGGCUUGACCGUUUACAAUCAGCAUGAUGUUUCAUAGAUAUUCUACGAUCUGGCCUCUGUUCAGUGAUGACUUAAACUACAUGCUUGAUCCCAUGUUGCUUUAGUUUACAGUCAGUCAGUUUAAGAGUUUAAUGAUCUGGAUUCCUUUUACUUCACUCACUACUAACUUAACAUUUCCUAACCUAACACUUCCUAACUCCUUCUAACCUAUUCUAAUCUGAUUUUUUCUUGGGGCUUAAAUCCAGUCAUGAACUCUUACUGAGUGCUGUACUCUAAGCGCAGUUUCCAAAAGCAGACAUGGAUCCCUCUGCUUUUGUGACCUGUUUAUGAUCAAGUGUUUGUAGUUUAUUAAUCAGUGGAUUUUUGGUCAGAUCAAGGAUUAAUCAUGAGAACUCAUGCUGAUUCAGUUCACGGUUGCCUUGUUUGUUGUUUUAGUUUGGGGUGGUGGUCCACGGUAGUCCUGUUUUCGGCUCUUAUUUUCUUUAGUUUAGGCUUAUUGUAAGUUUUUAGGUAGAAGGAAUCUCUGGGACGACGGCCAACUGCUUGGCUGGCCUGGUAGCUUCCUUUUUAUUUUCUGUUUGGCCGGGACCUCAUUCCUUUUUAUUUAUUUAUUUUUAAUAUUUACUUUGUCUUUUCUUUGAAAAAUUUAAAUAAACUACAUAAAAUUUAACAUGA